UGCGCCCAACGCCAUUGUACCGAAG
Molecule: unclassified non-coding RNA, 25 nt
Filed under: Mus musculus (house mouse)
Lineage: Eukaryota; Metazoa; Chordata; Mammalia; Rodentia; Muridae
Description: oocyte_clustered_small_RNA13037
Source: RNAcentral